Molecule: ribosomal RNA, 253 nt
Filed under: uncultured bacterium
Lineage: Bacteria
Description: partial 16S ribosomal RNA
Rfam family: Bacterial small subunit ribosomal RNA
Source: RNAcentral
UACGAAGGUGGCAAGCGUUGUUCGGAAUUACUGGGCGUAAAGCGUGCGCAGGCGGUUUUGUAAGCCAGAUGUGAAAUCCCCGGGCUCAACCUGGGAAUGGCAUUUGGGACUGCAAGGCUUGAGUGCGGCAGAGGAGACUGGAAUUCCUGGUGUAGCAGUGAAAUGCGUAGAUAUCGGGAGGAACACCAGUGGCGAAGGCGACUACCUGGCCUGUUCUUGACGCUGAGGCGCGAAAGCUAGGGGAGCAAACGGG